Molecule: small nucleolar RNA, 169 nt
Filed under: Jaculus jaculus (lesser Egyptian jerboa)
Lineage: Eukaryota; Metazoa; Chordata; Mammalia; Rodentia; Dipodidae
Description: Small nucleolar RNA SNORA23 (ENSJJAG00000007043.1)
Rfam family: Small nucleolar RNA SNORA23
About the family: The members of this family belong to the H/ACA class of snoRNAs which are thought to guide the sites of modification of uridines to pseudouridines. This family includes human snoRNA ACA23 (SNORA23) and mouse snoMBI-1.
Source: RNAcentral
UGUGACGUACACUGCUUCCAUCUACGGCUGGUAGCAGUUUCUUUUUGAGUUCAGAUCUAGCAAUCCACACAAACAUCAUGCAGCCAGAGUAACUUAGGGUCAUAGUACUGGUCUAGGGUGUGUCUUUGGUACGUCUCCCACUGACCAGCCUCCAAAUUUCUGCACACAA